AACGAAGAAAUUUUUCUUGUAUUAGACUCUUCAUUUGCCUUUGCUUUCAGUUUCAUUAUAGACUCAGCUGAAAAAUGGAAGAUUCUCUCUCUUAAAAUGGAUGUUUCAUAUCUGUGAACAAACUCCUCGUGAUGUUUGAAUGGAAGGUUGAUAAUCGGACCAUAACCUUGUGGAAACCAUCUAUUGUGGAUAGGUUGAUGUGAAAUCGGAACAAGAACAUGAAUAUCAUUUUGAAAUAUCUCAGAAAAUGAGUUAAAGAAAUUCCAAUAACCAGUCCCAUCACCUAUACAAUGAUUCAUGGAACAACCUAUAAAAACACCAUCCAAUAAUUCAGUUACUUGAAUAGUUAAUAAAGACAUGGUAUGACCAUCAUGGCUGACUGCUUUGUCAUGAUCAAAGAACGAUUGGACAAUGGGUGGGACAUCAACUGGUGAGAGAAUAUCAUUUAUGGUGAUAUCUAAAGUUGCAUGAAUAAAUCUAGCUCCGCGACUGUUUUUGCAAUCAACGAAAACAGUGUAAGAAUGAGGGUCUUCAGAUUUUUUAGUAACAAGACGACCAGACAGGGGAUAAUAAUGAAAAAGUGUGAGAGAAAGAGAGUGUUUGAGUUUGUCCACUAGGUUCUCAAUGAAGUGUUGUUGGUUUAGUGAUGAUGUUGGUUUCUUGAAGAGAAGUCCCUUUUGGAUAUAGUGUGUAGAUAACAUGGCAAUAUCCCAAUGUGUUAGAUAGCAUAUUUGGUUUGAGUCUUUGAUAGGGGGAUAAGGUUUAAUAAAACAUGCAGAAACAAUGUUUAGGGAAGGGAUCCUCAUAUUUUGGAGGUGAAGAAACGAGUCUCUUUUGAAGUUUUUUUUUUUUUUUUUGUUGUAUCAUUCAUGUGAAGAUAGUAGUAUUAAUAAACAAAUUAGAGAUAAUGAUUUAUUGUCUCUGUAGGAUCGAUAAGGAUGCUCAGAGGAAGGUGUCAGCAGCACGCAAAGCAAGCAAAUCAAUGGUUCAAUGCCUUAUCUAGAGCUUAGGACUUACCUAAUUAGAGAUUGUCACCACAUGUGUUUGAUUGUUGUUGGCUACGUGUUCAAACACUUGCUGAAAGCUUUGUCCAAUAAAAAUAGUUUGCUGACAAUCUUGUUAGUUUAUUAGUAAAGAUAUGUUUUGUUUCGAGUAAAUAGACAAUUACCCUUAAAAUUGUAAAUUUUAUAAAUUACUCCUUUGAAAUUAACAAAACUUUAAUUACUCAUGAAAUUUCACAACGUUAAUCAAUUUACCCUCUCCGUCAAAUUUUUCUGUUAGUGAACAUGACGUUUUUCAAAUACCCAUGAAGUUUUGCACUUAUGUGCAAAAUGUCCCCCAACUUAAAAAUUAAUAUUAUUUUUUUCUUAAAGACAAACGAUUAAAUAUUAAAGCUUUAGAGUUUGGAAAAACUACAUGCAUAUAUACAUCAAAAUAGGAAAAAAUGUGUAUUUUUAAAGUGACAAUAAUGGUUAUUUUUAAUAGACAAAUUAUUAUGUUUAUGGGUUUAUAGACAAACUAAUAAUCAGUUUUAAAUUUAUAUUUUCUCUUUCACCAUCUUAGUCUUUUAACUCCUCUAACUCCUUCAACAAUUUGCUCAAAUCAUUUAAACUACACAACCCCCAAUAUUUUCAUAUGAUUUGUUCUUGUUUACACACUUUAUAGAAAACUUAAUUCUAACUUCUUGUUUGUGCUUCAGGCAGAGAUAAUCAUUCAUCGUAUACAAUCUAGCUCACACCACAAUACUAUCAGACCGACAUAUCAUAUAUAGCAUAUUAAGUAAUAUUCAUGUAAAAAAGACACAAAUCAUAAGCAAAUGAAAUAUGUGAUCGGUAUGUAUAGAGGAAACACUUAUUGAGAAAUGUCAAACAGUUAGUCAUAUAUUUCUUCACCUUUGAAAUUAAUCCACAAAUCAUCUCAUUACUGUCACUUUAAAAAAUACACAUUUUCCCCCAUUUUGAUGUAUAUAUGCAUGUAGUUUUCCCAAAUUCCAAAAUUAAUAGUUAGUUUUAAUAUUUAACUAUCAAUUGUUUGUUUUUAAGAAAAAAUAAUAUAAAUUUUUAAGUUUAGGGGGCAUUUUGCAAAUAAGUGCAAAACUUCAGGGGGGUAUUUGCAAAACGUCAUGUUCACUAAGAGAAAAAUUUGACGGAUGAGGUAAAUUGAUUAACGUUGUGAAAUUUCAAAGGUGUAAUUGAAGUUUUGUUAACUUCAGGAGGGUAUUUGCCUAUUUACUCAUUUUGUUUCUUCAGGUGAGAAAAGACAUAUUUUUAUUAUGACUAUAAAAAUAAGAAUUUAAAAUAGGUUUAAUUGCAGUAGUUUUGAUGAUCAAAUUAUAAAAUAAGGCCGUCUAGCCUGAGGCAUUUAGCAUACACAAGUUAUUGAAUUUGAAGUAUCAUAUAAGUAUCAUAUACAAAUGAAUUUUUAUUGUCCCGUUACUUUUGAACGGAUUUAAAUCCGUCGCCACUUUCAACCAAUUAGAAUGCGGUAUUUUUUCAAUAAGUAAUGUCAUAUACAUUUUCUCUCUUCCAUUUGUCAAAUACCUUUUCUUUUUCUUUUUCCAUUAUAUAUUCAAGUAUAUUCCUUUUAUUUUUAAGGGAAAUUCAAGUAUUUUCAAUCAAAUCUUUUUAUUAUUACAUGGUCGAUUAAGUUUUUUUUUUUUUUUUUUUUAAAUUAUACAUAAAAACAACAUUAAUAUCUUCCCUCUUGAAACAAAAAACACAUUUACAACUUAGCUCCUCAUCAGUUCUUUCAAGAUCUGGUCAUCAAUUACAACGCCGAAUUCGCCAUCGCCGACGAGAAGAAAGGUUGUCAUAUCUGUGAGGUUGUCGUUACUCGCAUCCUUUGACACAUAAAUUCAUUUUCAAUGGAUCAGGCAAGGUAAUGGAAUAUAUUAUAUGAAUCGUACAAUGUUUCUUUCAUUUGAGUUCCAUUAUUUUAGAUGAAACAGUGUAAUCUAGAAUUUCAUGAACAUAUCGAAUCUAAAUAUGUUAUUAGUUUUAGGAUUAUUAAGAUUUUAGUGCGUAAGUUUGAUUAAACCAUAUUUGAUUAAUAGAAAAAAAACAAGGUAUUUUAUACUUUUAACAUAUAUUCCACAGAAAUGGAAAUGAAACAUCUUUAUUCACAUAUUUCGACAAAAUUACACACAUUAUAUUAAGGAUACAAAUGAUAUCGAUAAAGGAAAGUAAACCACUAUCUUAAAAACAGCCUUGGAAUGGUAGGGUAACCACCCAAAACCAUAACAUCCUCCGAGUGGAAACACAAAGAUAUUUGUGUUACAAAAUUCCUUUCGGAGGAUGUUCCGAGAAACCCCAAUCUUCCUACCAUCAUUGAUUAAAUAAUAGACUAUAGAUUUCACACAAUGGUGUUCACAUAGAAGAAGAAAACGUUGUUUUCCUUUACUAUCUCACUUUUUGGAUGAAACGGUGUAGGUGUACACCUACUCAAAUUGGGGGUGGACGUAAUGAUGAAUUUUGGAGCUCGUCAAUUCUUUCACCCUUAAGACAGAGGCCUUAAUGCAAGACAUGUUGAAAAAGAACCAACUUUCCCAAAGUUAAAAAUAAACUUAGUAUAACACACAGUGAGAAAAGAGUGAUGCGAGAUAUAUGGCUUAGUGUGAGAAAGAAAGCAGUACUAAAACAUGUUGUGAAAAGAGAAAUAGGAAUAAUAUGACUUAGUUUUUUAGAAUGAAGGCAAUGGAUAAUAGCCAUUAUAUAGUAAUCUAACUACCACCUUUAAAGUCAUUUCAAACUUGUGUUUGGAUUGAGGGUUUAGGAGGGGAGGGUUCACUUUUAAUUUUUAAAUUACGAACGGUGUAAAAUGUUUUUUUAAAAUAAAUUAAAUGUUUUUGAAGUAUUAUAUAAUCAUUUAUCAUGUUGUUAAUUAAAUUUUAUAAAAAUCAUUUUACACCGUUAUUGCUAUUUUGUUAAAGAUAAGGGAUCAAAGGUGUAUAUAUUUUUAAAAAAUAAUAGAAGGCCAAAAUUGCUAUAUUUUUGCAAUGAUUUGUAAAGUUGAGAGGUAAACUGUUAUAUUUUUUUAUUAGGGGUCAAAAUUGUAACUUUUAAAAAGUUAAAUGGUCAAAUGUUCACUUAAACCAUUAUUAUAAUUGAAGAUAAUGUAAAAUGUAUCUUAAUUGAUGUGGUUGUUUUUGUUUUUUACGAACAAAAGAUAUAAGUUGUUGAUUUAGGUAAGAGUAAUAAUAUUUGUACAAUUAUUUAUGAUAAUUUUUAGAAUAAUUUUAUUUUUCUCUCUUUAAUUGGUCAAAAACAAUAAGAGAAAGAGUAAAAACAUAUAAUGAAGCUCCGAUACGGAUACGGGUGCGGGUACGAUACGAUAUGGAUACGCGGAUACGCGAAUUUUUUUAAAUUUAGGAUAUGAUACGGUCAGGAUACGUUAACAAAAAUUUAUAAUAAAAUUUAUCUGUAUGUAAAAUACUAGAAGAAAAGUAACACUAAUUACUCUUCAUUAUUGUAUUAUUAUAAAAGUUACAAUUUUUAAAAAAUAAUACAUGUGAUCAAAAUAAUUUUUUUGAAAGUUUUCUUAUAAACCAUAUUACAUUUUCAUAUGUUGCGAUAUCGAGAGAAACAUCAUUAAAAGAACUCAACGCAAAUUUUAUGUGAUGUUGAUUAACUAAAUCACCUCUCUCGCUACGUUCAUCCACAAGAAGUAUAAUUUUAAGUGAUUCAUCAGUAAACAAUUCUAUUAAUGUAUAUCUAAAAUUGAAUCUUAUACAUCUAUAAUGAAUUUUUACAACGUUGUCUCACUUUUUUACUCUUCAUCUUUUUCUAGGAUACGUAUCUUUGAAGUAUUUUAGAAGUAUCCUUGUUUACACAUGGAGUAUCAAAUAAGUAUCCGAUAAAAUAUUUAUUAAAAAUUAAAAUAAUUAAUUCUGAUACUUUGUGGGUACAUAUUUGCGAGUACCCGUGGAGUAUCGGUAUCCGAUACGGGUACGUCUCCAUUUUGGAGUAUCCGAGCUUCAUAGAAACAUAAUAAAAAGUAUGAUAUAAAGUUGUUCCAAAAUAUGUCCCAAAAUAGUUAUACGAAUAUUAUCUCUCUUUUAUUUGCCUAUUAUUUUCUUCUUAUUUUGACAAAAACAAAACUAUUUUCAUUCAUUAAAAUUGAUAGAGUACAUUAUUCAACAGCACUAAAAACGUAAAGGAUUAAUCUGCAAACAAACUCAUAACAUCCAAGUUAAUAGUAUACAAGGGUAAAUUAUUGAUAAAUAAUUAAUCUUUCGAUAAAAAUUAAAUGAACACCAUAACAAGAUUGAAAAUCAAACAAUAUUGCACAAAACAACAAACAACACAUGACUACUUUGAAACGACUAAAUCACGAAGAAAAAAACCUAAAUCUAUAUAUAAAUCACUUAUUUAAAUUGAAAUAGAAUUAUUUUUCAUCACCAUUAAAGAGCAUUAUAGCAUAUUCAAAUACUAGAACAAAGGAUUAAACACAAACUGAAUUCAUGAACUCUUCAUUUGUUUCCAGCACCAUCAUUUUCUUAGGUGAAAGACACACUUCAAGAUCAAUGCUCCCUCCUCCUUCUUGACCUGGAUAUGAAAUUACUUUUCCAUCAAAUUUGUUAGCAUAUCCACUUCUAACUGCCAAAGCUUUUCCCAUUCCGAAUUCAUUUCCAUACGUAUUAAACCUCGGUGAACCACUUAUCAUCACAGUAUAAGGAUCAAAGAACAAAUCCAUUCGAUACAAAAAAGGAGAACGAAACCACUUUUCAACCGACCUACGCACCACUUUAUCAUCGUGAUUUGCAAUAGCCACAUGAAUUUUCCAUGCUGCCCAUCCUAGAUCAUUCUCCAGCAACUCUCCUACCGUCGUUUCAGCACUCACUACAUAAAGUGAAUUCCCAAAAUAUUCCUUAGGAAGAGGUGGUUCCAUUCUUGUUCGGUUGUUUGUAGCCAUUUUGCAAGUUGUUCUCUGACCGUGUUGUAGUUGACGUGCAUGAGUUAUAGAUCUCCAAACUAAUGCUGAUAAAGAUUGAAACGAAGAAAUUUUGUUUGUAUUAGACUCUGCAUUUGCCUUUGCUUUAAGUUUUGCUAUAGAUUCCACUGAAAAAUGGAAGAUUCUCUCUCUUAAAAUGGGUGUUUCAUAUCUGUGAACAAACUCAUGGUGAUGUUUGAAUGGAAGGUUGAUAAUUGGACCAUAACCUUGUGGAAACCAUCUCUUGUGGAUAGGUUGAUGUGAA
Molecule: long non-coding RNA, 6193 nt
Filed under: Medicago truncatula (barrel medic)
Lineage: Eukaryota; Viridiplantae; Streptophyta; Magnoliopsida; Fabales; Fabaceae
Description: long non-coding RNA (MTRU_LNC001169)
Source: RNAcentral